AUGGAGCCCCAGUCGCCCGGCUCGCCGGCCUCUCCGGGCAAGCCGUUGGCGCCGGAGCUGCCCGAGCCUUAUGCGGAAAUGCGGCCGUUGGACGUGGCGCCGGACGAGGAGGCCGCGGUCAAGCCGGACCGGCGGACAUCAUCGGCGUCUUCUUCUUCGUCGAGGGCGUCCUCGGCCGGGUGCGUUUUCCAGGUCGACGCGUCCGAGAUGCGCACCCCGUUGGUUGAGGCAGCGGCAGACGGCGACGACGACCAUGCCGACGCCGGUCCGGCCGCGCAGGCGAAGUUGCCCGAGGACUGGGCGUCAUUUUCGGAGCGGUCGACCGGCGGAGGCACGGUGUCGGCGGCACCGGAGGCCCAGACGAUGGCCAAGCCGGCCGUCGAGGGCUUCAACCCGGACAGGAUCCCGGCGUCCAUCUUCCAGCCCAAGCCGGGGGCGCAGGCGGACUGGAGCAUCGCGUCCAACGAGUCGCUCUUCAGCAUCCACGGCGCCAGCCUGAGCAUCUCCGACGACUUGUACGCCCCCAGCAGGUCCCACUUCGACUACUUCUACGACGAGGCCAUGGCGGCCGGCGGCAGCGGAUACACAGACGGGAAGCUGCCGCCGCUCGCGGAGGUGCCGGGCAGCGCGAUGUCGGACGCGAGCGAGGGGAGAGCGAUCCGGCGGCACGAGAGCGGCUCCAUCGGCAGCUCCAGCAACUUCUCCUUCGCCUUCCCAAUACUGGCCGAGCCAUCGACGGGGACGAAGGAGAGCAUGGGCGGCUACCAGCAGCUGCAGAAGGAGCACGAGCAGUCGCCGCCGCGGCCCUCGAACCGCAAGUCGCAGUUCGAGGAGAUGACGACGGAGGAGGAGCGGCGGCCGCAGAAGGCCGGGUGGUGCUGGUGCGGGGAGUGCUGCUGGCUCGCCUGCUCCUGGCCCACCUGCUGCUGCCAAUGGCGGUGGCGGUGCUGCUCCUGUCCGACCUGCUGCCAGUGCAGCUGGUGCCUCUGA
This 990-nucleotide ribosomal RNA is filed under the name Triticum aestivum (bread wheat). RNAcentral's name for it is "partial small subunit ribosomal RNA". Lineage: Eukaryota; Viridiplantae; Streptophyta; Magnoliopsida; Poales; Poaceae. The record is from RNAcentral.